Molecule: long non-coding RNA, 262 nt
Organism: Nicotiana attenuata
Lineage: Eukaryota; Viridiplantae; Streptophyta; Magnoliopsida; Solanales; Solanaceae
Exons: 3
Source: RefSeq, a predicted model, not a curated record
UAGGAGUUCAUUGACUCCUAAAUGUGUGGAAGCUCUUAUUUGUGUUCAAGAUUGGCUUAGAGAAGAGAACAAUCCUAUUAGUGUUGAAGAAGACUUGAAGUAUCUUGAGGAACUCGAGCUCGAUAUGGAAAAUAAUGGAAGCACAACUAGCAUUGUUUGAUGUAUAGUUGCAACUUGCAUCUUGAGAGGUUCAAGCAUUGUGGUCAAGUCUAUAAUGUGUAGUUGCAACAGUGUUGACUGUUUGCAUCUGGUGAUUCGCAAU